CAUAACUUCCUCUUCCCACUGGAGUUCGUUCAGGAAGCCAGAACCAGCAUGGGGAUGCUCAGGCCUCCAAGAUCCCCUAGGACCAUGGGCAGGCCACCCCUCAGCCCAGCUUUUGCCUACUUUGAAGACCUCAAGGACAAGAGGGCCCUAAUCUUACCGAGCCAGGCCCUCCUCAAUCCAAGGCCUUCUUAGGCGUUGCCAAGGAAACUGAUGCAGCAGCCAAAGAGCCUGGCCCAGGUCUCCAUGACAA
Molecule: long non-coding RNA, 250 nt
Filed under: Homo sapiens (human)
Lineage: Eukaryota; Metazoa; Chordata; Mammalia; Primates; Hominidae
Description: HSALNT0232568
Source: RNAcentral